GACGGGACCCGCACAAGCGGUGGAUGAUGUGGUUUAAUUCGAUGCAACGACGAAAACCUUACCCACCUUUGACAUGGCAGGAAUCCCGAAGAGAUUUGGGAGUGCUCGAAAGAGAACCUGCACACAGGUGCUGCAUGGCUGUCGUCAGCUCGUGUCGUGAGAUGUUGGGUUAAGUCCCGCAACGAGCGCAACCCUUGCCAUUAGUUGCUACGAAAGGGCACUCUAAUGGGACUGCCGGUGACAAACCGGAGGAAGGUGGGGGAUGACGUCAAGUCCUCAUGGCCCUUAUAGGUGGGGCUACACACGUCAUACAAUGGCCGGUACAGAGGGUAGCCAACCCGCGAGGGGGAGCCAAUCCCACAAAGCCGGUCGUAGUCCGGAUCGCAGUCUGCAACUCGACUGCGUGAAGUCGGAAUCGCUAGUAAUCGCGGAUCAGCAUGUCGCGGUGAAUACGUUCCCGGGUCUU
RNAcentral lists this ribosomal RNA (466 nucleotides) under uncultured Allobrachymonas sp. RNAcentral describes it as "bacterial SSU rRNA". It matches the Rfam family "Bacterial small subunit ribosomal RNA", at positions 916 to 1381 of the family's 1533-position model. Lineage: Bacteria; Pseudomonadati; Pseudomonadota; Betaproteobacteria; Burkholderiales; Comamonadaceae. The record is from RNAcentral.